Molecule: ribosomal RNA, 253 nt
Filed under: uncultured bacterium
Lineage: Bacteria
Description: partial 16S ribosomal RNA
Rfam family: Bacterial small subunit ribosomal RNA
Source: RNAcentral
GACGGAAGGUGCAAGCGUUGCUCGGAAUUACUGGGCGUAAAGGGUGCGUAGGCGGCCGUGCAAGUCUGGCGUGAAAGCCCCGGGCUCAGCCCGGGAAGUGCGCUCGAAACUGCGCGGCUCGAGUGCCGGAGGGGAGAGUGGAAUUCCUGGUGUAGCGGUGAAAUGCGUAGAUAUCAGGAGGAAUACCGGUGGCGAAAGCGACUCUCUGGACGGCAACUGACGCUGAGGCACGAAAGCGUGGGGAGCAAACAGG